AACGGUGCCUUAUCGCGACAUAACGCCCCCUAUCGCGACAUAACGGCCCCCUAUCGCGACAUAACGGCCCCCUAUCGCGACAUAAUGGCGCCCUAUCGCGACAUAACGGCCCCCUAUCACGACAUAAUGGCGCCCUGUCGCGACAUAACGCCCCCUAUCGCGACAUAACGGUGCCUUAUCGCGACAUAACCGCGCUCUAUCGCGAUAUAAUGGCGCCCUAUCGCGACAUAACGCCCCCUAUCGCGAUUCAGCCGCGCUCCGUUAGCAGCAGUCGUCGUCCGUUUCGCUGUAGGGGUCGCGGAGUCUCUGGCGGCCGACGACCCCCCCCGGGAACCCCCGCCCCCCCCGGUCCGUGACGUUCGGCAGCACGCCGGCCCGGCCGCAGGGGGGGGAUGGACCAUAGAACGGGAUUGAGGUGGGGGGGGGGGGCCGCGGUGGUCGGGGUGGGAGGGGGGAGGGUCCCGGAGAUCCGGGGCGGGGUUUCGGUAGACAACGCCGGGAGGAGGAGCCCGGGGGGGCAGAUCGAUUUAGU
RNAcentral lists this long non-coding RNA (532 nucleotides) under Coturnix japonica (Japanese quail). RNAcentral's name for it is "lncRNA (ENSCJPG00005001958.1)". The record is from RNAcentral. Lineage: Eukaryota; Metazoa; Chordata; Aves; Galliformes; Phasianidae.